UUUUUUUUUUUUUAAGAGAGAGAGAGAGAGAGGGCUUGGGGUUUAAGCACGAUAUCUAAUUUGUGAAUGUCAUAUGGAAUUCACUGAUCUGCACCCUUUAUGGUGUACUCUAUAUAAAUACUCCUUCACUUACCACAAGAAAACUAUAGGAAAGAAGAUGGUAUAGAAAAUGUUUUAUGGGUAAUGAAUCUUGUGUGCCAUUGCUUAUUUCUGGAACUAAUUUUUGAACUGCUAAACAUUAUAAGCUGUGUAAUCUGUGUUUUUAAAUAUAUAAAUUUUGCUUCUCUGUAUAAGUUGUGAUAUUCCUUUUGAUAUUUUUCCUUUUCAUUAGGCUAUAAGGUUCUUGCACUUCUUAUUAGUUACACCCAGCAUCUUUGUUACCUAUUUGUUAUUCUGUUGACUCUUGAGAGUUUUUGAGGCAGCAUGUUACUUCUGAAAUACCCUACCAAAUAGCUGCAAACUCAAGACUUCUCUUAGCCAGAGUUUAAGUGGAUCUUGUUUCACAUCUUACACUCAUAUUCUAUCUCUUUUUGGUCGGGCCAUUUUUUGGUGUAAUGCAGAGAUUCAUUGUUAAUUUGCUCUAGGUGAUUUUUUUU
Long non-coding RNA from Ipomoea nil (Japanese morning glory), 596 nucleotides. RefSeq lists it as uncharacterized. The record is from RefSeq and is a predicted model, not a curated record. NCBI's taxonomy places the organism in Eukaryota, Viridiplantae, Streptophyta, Magnoliopsida, Solanales, Convolvulaceae. The transcript is spliced from 2 exons.